CCGAGUUUACAACUCCCAAACCCCUGUGAACAUACCUAUACGUUGCCUCGGCGGAUCAGCCCGCGUCCCCGUAAAACGGGACGGCCCGCCCGAGGACCCCUAAACUCUGUUUUUAGUGGAACUUCUGAGUAAAACAAACAAAUAAAUCA
RNAcentral lists this unclassified non-coding RNA (149 nucleotides) under soil metagenome. RNAcentral's name for it is "partial internal transcribed spacer 1". The record is from RNAcentral.